Molecule: long non-coding RNA, 1065 nt
Organism: Cyprinus carpio carpio
Lineage: Eukaryota; Metazoa; Chordata; Actinopteri; Cypriniformes; Cyprinidae
Source: Ensembl
CCCAGUCUUUCUGCACACUUAUUAGGAAACUACAAAACGCUCUCAGUUCCUCUUCUCAUUCUGAAUCAGCACCAGAAACGUGUGUGUGUGUGUGUUGCUAAGGCUGCACUCACAGAGACGGGCUGCUUUCACUACGCAAGCAGUCUGCCCCGUUCUCUCAUGGAAGGCGGCCCUGCCUACCCUGCUCUCGUUUCUCUCCUCCCAGUUCCAUUUGGAGGAAGAAACGGUGAACUCGUGGGGAUGAGCAAUCAGGCUUGAAUGAUUUAACGCCGGCAAAGCCCCGUGCUUCAUAAAAAAAGAAAAAGAAAGAAAGAAUAUAUUUUAAAGAAAAUUAUAUCAACAUCAUAAAAUGCAUAAAAAACUACAUUAGUGAGAUGACAGAGAGUGAAUAGUGAGUUGAUAAAAAACCUAAUAAUUAAGUCUUAAAAAUGUAUAAUAAAAACAAUGUAAACACUUAAAUACUAAAAAUAUAAUUAUUUUAUUUGUUUACCUGCAUGUCAAUGUGACCAUUAACUGACAUCAGAGAACUGUAUAUGUGUGAAUGUGGUGUUAAAUUAUUAGGAAUAUUAACGUCCUCAGAGAUAUUUCAAGGAAAGAUUUUAUUUUAAGGGAUUUGGCUAAAGGGGGCAGUCGGGUUUGAGUCUCAGGUCCGGCAGGAAUUGUCAGUGGAGGAAGUGAAUAACUAGCGCUCUCUCACCUUCAAUACCACAACUGAGGUGAGACCAAGGCCCCAAACCCCCAACUGCUCCCCGGGUGCUGCAGCAAUAUGGCGGCCCUCUGUGAUUGAUUUAUAAAUAGUUGGAUGGGUUAAAUACAGAGCACAAAUUCCGAGUAUGGGUCAAAAAAAAAAAGAAGUUCGAAAAGGCUGAGCGACAGUAUACUAUAAUUUAUUGUACCCUUUAAAUUCGCUUAUCGAAAGAACAGCUGCAGCAGCAGCAGCAUGGUGUAACAUAUAUUUAAAACACUUGCUACCUUAUAUCUUUACUCUUUCCUUUCAUUCUUUUCAUGGCUUUGGAAAACUUAUAACUCUGGGUCAUCGACACCAAGCUUUGUUGCAAUUUCUUU